UUUUGAGAAGAGGCGUGCUGAGUCGGGAAGGAUCAGGGAGAAGUACCCCGACAGGAUUCCGGUGAUCGUGGAGAAGGCUGAGAGAAGCGACAUACCAAAUAUCGACAAGAAAAAGUACUUGGUGCCUGCAGACUUGACAGUUGGUCAAUUCGUUUACGUUAUUCGUAAGCGAAUCAAGUUAAGCGCAGAGAAGGCAAUCUUCAUAUUUGUAGACAAUGUG
This 220-nucleotide unclassified non-coding RNA is filed under the name Hevea brasiliensis (rubber tree). The record is from RNAcentral. Lineage: Eukaryota; Viridiplantae; Streptophyta; Magnoliopsida; Malpighiales; Euphorbiaceae.